GAGGGGUAACAUGAGGUAGCAAUACUUUGAUGACGACCAGCGCACGGGUGAGUAACGCGUAUGUAACCUACCUUGUACAGGGGGAUAGCCCGGAGAAAUUCGGAUUAAUACCCCAUAAUGAUAUUUAGAGGCAUCUUUGAAUAUUUAAAGUUUCGACGGUACGAGAUGGGCAUGCGUGACAUUAGCUAGUUGGUAAGGUAACGGCUUACCAAGGCUGCGAUGUCUAGGGGUCCUGAGAGGGUGAUCCCCCACACUGGUACUGAGACACGGACCAGACUCCUACGGGAGGCAGCAGUGAGGAAUAUUGGUCAAUGGGCGUAAGCCUGAACCAGCCAUCCCGCGUGAAGGAAGAAGGCGCUAUGCGUCGUAAACUUCUUUUCCGGAGGAAUAAAAUUUCGUACGUGUACGGGACUGAAGGUACUCCGGGAAUAAGCAUCGGCUAACUCCGUGCCAGCAGCCGCGGUAAUACGGAGGAUGCAAGCGUUAUCCGGAUUUAUUGGGUUUAAAGGGUGCGUAGGCGGAUUAAUAAGUCAGUGGUGAAAACCUUCAGCUUAACUGGAGAACUGCCAUUGAUACUGUUAGUCUUGAGUACGGUCAAGGUAGGCGGAAUGUGUAAUGUAGCGGUGAAAUGCUUAGAUAUUACACAGAACACCGAUUGCGAAGGCAGCUUACUGGGCCAUUACUGACGCUGAUGCACGAAAGCGUGGGGAGCGAACAGGAUUAGAUACCCUGGUAGUCCACGCCGUAAACGAUGAUCACUCGCUGUUAGCGAUACACAGUUAGCGGCUAAGCAAAAGCAUUAAGUGAUCCACCUGGGGAGUACGGGCCGCAAGGCUG
Molecule: ribosomal RNA, 837 nt
Filed under: uncultured bacterium
Lineage: Bacteria
Description: bacterial SSU rRNA
Rfam family: Bacterial small subunit ribosomal RNA
Source: RNAcentral